Molecule: unclassified non-coding RNA, 336 nt
Filed under: uncultured fungus
Lineage: Eukaryota; Fungi
Description: partial contains 5.8S ribosomal RNA, internal transcribed spacer 2, and large subunit ribosomal RNA
Source: RNAcentral
AACGCACAUUGCGCCUCUCGGUAUUCCGGGAGGCACGCCUGUUCGAGCGCCAUUACAAACUCCAAGCUGUGCUUGAUGUUGGUCGAUGUGUGAUUUUCCGGAUGGAAAAGGCACAGGACUGGAACAAGUCGGCGCCGCCGCCAGACCACGAGCGUAGCAAGACGAGAGUCAAUACAUCGCAUCGGUUUUGGAUCUGACGGAGGGUGGCCUUAAUUUCUUGCGUGUGAUAUCUGGGCGACGGAGCGUCUUUGAGUAGACGCGGGUCGUGUGGAGAGAGGGCGCGCAAGGCUUAGCAAGUUUGGCCUCGGAUCAGGCGGGGAUACCCGCUGAACUUAA